GGGGUUGUAGCUCAGUGGUAGAGCACUUGCCUUGCACGUGUGCAGCUCUGGAUUCAAUCCUCAACACCA
This 69-nucleotide transfer RNA is filed under the name Urocitellus parryii (Arctic ground squirrel). RNAcentral's name for it is "Spermophilus parryii (Arctic ground squirrel) tRNA". It matches the Rfam family "tRNA". From Rfam's summary of the family: Transfer RNA (tRNA) molecules are approximately 80 nucleotides in length. Their secondary structure includes four short double-helical elements and three loops (D, anti-codon, and T loops). Further hydrogen bonds mediate the characteristic L-shaped molecular structure. tRNAs have two regions of fundamental functional importance: the anti-codon, which is responsible for specific mRNA codon recognition, and the 3' end, to which the tRNAs corresponding amino acid is attached (by aminoacyl-tRNA synthetases). tRNAs cope with the degeneracy of the genetic code in two manners: having more than one tRNA (with a specific anti-codon) for a particular amino acid; and 'wobble' base-pairing, i.e. permitting non-standard base-pairing at the 3rd anti-codon position. RNAcentral also lists the same sequence under 2 other names. The record is from Rfam by way of RNAcentral. Lineage: Eukaryota; Metazoa; Chordata; Mammalia; Rodentia; Sciuridae.